ACGGAAGGCAGCAGUGGGGAAUAUUGCACAAUGGGCGAAAGCCUGAUGCAGCGACGCCGCGUGAGUGAAGAAGUAUCUCGGUAUGUAAAGCUCUAUCAGCAGGGAAGAAAAUGACGGUACCUGACUAAGAAGCCCCGGCUAACUACGUGCCAGCAGCCGCGGUAAUACGUAGGGGGCAAGCGUUAUCCGGAUUUACUGGGUGUAAAGGGAGCGUAGACGGUUUGGCAAGUCUGAAGUGAAAUGCGGGGGCUCAACUCCUGAACUGCGUUGGAAACUGUCGAACUAGAGUGCAGGAGAGGUAAGUGGAAUUCCUAGUGUAGCGGUGAAAUGCGUAGAUAUUAGGAGGAACACCAGUGGCGAAGGCGGCUUACUGGACUGUAACUGACGUUGAGGCUCGAAAGCGUGGGGAGCAAACAGGAUUAGAUACCCUGGUA
RNAcentral lists this ribosomal RNA (434 nucleotides) under uncultured Lachnospiraceae bacterium. RNAcentral describes it as "partial 16S ribosomal RNA". It matches the Rfam family "Bacterial small subunit ribosomal RNA", at positions 341 to 792 of the family's 1533-position model. The record is from RNAcentral. Lineage: Bacteria; Bacillati; Bacillota; Clostridia; Lachnospirales; Lachnospiraceae.